This 996-nucleotide unclassified non-coding RNA is filed under the name Hevea brasiliensis (rubber tree). Lineage: Eukaryota; Viridiplantae; Streptophyta; Magnoliopsida; Malpighiales; Euphorbiaceae. The record is from RNAcentral.
ACCAUAUUUAUCGAUAAUAAUGGUCUGGAGCUGCUUCUUGGCCUGCUUGGUUCUUCAAGUCUCAAGCAGCAGCUUGAUGGUGCUGUUGCGCUGUACAAGCUGGCAAAUAAAGCCACGACUCUUUCUCCUGUGGAUGCUGCUCCACCAUCUCCAACACCACAGGUUUACCUCGGUGAGCAGUAUGUGAACAAUCCGACACUAUCUGAUGUGACUUUUCUUGUUGAAGGAAGACGCUUCCAUGCCCACAGAAUUUGCUUGCUUGCUUCUUCGGAUGCAUUCCGUGCCAUGUUUGAUGGUGGCUAUCGGGAGAAGGAUGCUAAGGAUAUAGAAAUUCCAAAUAUUAGAUGGGAAGUUUUUGAGCUAAUGAUGAGAUUUGUUUACACCGGAUCUGUGGAUGUUUUGUUGGAUAUUGCUCAAGAUCUCCUGAGAGCUGCCGAUCAGUAUCUCUUGGAGGGACUUAAACGAUUGUGCGAAUACACCAUUGCACAGGAUAUAUCAUUGGAAAAUGUUUCAAGCAUGUAUGAACUCUCAGAAGCCUUUAAUGCCAUAUCUUUGAGACACACGUGCAUCCUUUUUAUCUUGGAACAAUUUGAAAAACUCAGUGGAAUGCCAGGGCAUUCUCUUCUAAUUCAGCGCAUACUUCCCGAGAUCCGCAAUUAUUUUGCUAAAGCCCUGACCAAGGCUAAUCUCCAGAGCUCACGGCUGUAGAUGGCUGCACUGUUUCGUUAUUCAUCAUUGCUAACCAACAAACACGAUGUACAGAUAGUGGUAGAUUUGGUUGCUGCUGCCGGGCUAGAUUGAGGUUCGAAUUUAGCUGAUUUGUUUUAUGGCUCAUGAUCCUUUGAUUUUUUUCCCUCCCCCCCUAAUGGUAAGGGUUUUGAUAUUUUGUAUAAAGUCUUAAGUAAUACCAUUGCUAGAUAGAAUGACCUUAGUCCUUACGAGAAUCUUGUCCUUGAAAUGCAUUGCAUUUAUUUUAUGAAUUGAUGUAUCUUCCCG